Molecule: ribosomal RNA, 255 nt
Filed under: uncultured bacterium
Lineage: Bacteria
Description: partial 16S ribosomal RNA
Rfam family: Bacterial small subunit ribosomal RNA
Source: RNAcentral
UACGUAGGGUGCAGGCGUUAAUCGGAAUUACUGGGCGUAAAGCGUGCGCAGGCGGUCUUUUAAGUCAGAUGUGAAAUCCCCGGGCUUAACCUGGGAACUGCGUUUGAAACUGGAAGGCUUGAGUGUGGCAGAGGGGGGGUGGAAUUCCACGUGUAGCAGUGAAAUGCGUAGAGAUGUGGAGGAACACCGAUGGCGAAGGCAGCCCCCUGGGCUAACACUGACGCCUCAUGCACGAAAGCGUGGGGAGCAAACAGG